ACCGAAACGCUGUGGGUCACUUGGUUCAUGCGUCCAUGAAGAACGCAGCUAGCUUUCGAGAAUUAAUGUGAAUUGCAGGACACCUUGAUCAUGGACAUUUUGAAAGCACUUGUGGCCCUGGGUUCCUCCUGGGGCUACACCUGUCUGAUAGUCU
Molecule: ribosomal RNA, 154 nt
Organism: Rattus norvegicus (Norway rat)
Lineage: Eukaryota; Metazoa; Chordata; Mammalia; Rodentia; Muridae
Product: 5.8S ribosomal RNA
Source: Ensembl